UACGAAGGGGGCUAGCGUUGUUCGGAAUUACUGGGCGUAAAGCGCGCGCAGGCGGUCUUCCAAGUCAGUGGUGAAAGCCCCGGGCUCAACCCGGGAAGUGCACUCGAUACUGCCGAGCUAGAGUGUCGGAGAGGUUGGUGGAAUUCUCGGUGUAGAGGUGAAAUUCGUAGAUAUCGAGAGGAACACCGGUGGCGAAGGCGGCCAACUGGACGAACACUGACGCUGAGACUCGAAAGCGUGGGGAGCAAACAGG
This 253-nucleotide ribosomal RNA is filed under the name uncultured bacterium. RNAcentral's name for it is "partial 16S ribosomal RNA". It matches the Rfam family "Bacterial small subunit ribosomal RNA", at positions 524 to 776 of the family's 1533-position model. The record is from RNAcentral.